This 375-nucleotide long non-coding RNA is filed under the name Homo sapiens (human). RNAcentral describes it as "HSALNT0187925". The record is from RNAcentral. Lineage: Eukaryota; Metazoa; Chordata; Mammalia; Primates; Hominidae.
CAAAGGGAAGGGAAACAUAAUGCCUUGCUGUGUGGCCUCAUUGAGUGGUUCCGAGGGCACCCAGCUAUUCUGUCCGUCCUGCACUGGAUCGACACUGCAUAAAAUGAAACAGAGAGUUGGAAAUUAGCUGGUGAAUAAGAUGAUGAAGAAACACAAACAAGGCUCUUCAGAGCUGGAAAGCUUCUGGGGCCAUUGCUACGGCUCAGAAGCUCUCUGAAAUACGUCAGGGACCCAGCUUUUUAAGGCACCGUGAAAGUAAGAGACCAAAAACAGAUGACAGAAAACGAGAAUAAUGAUGGUUGAAGAAAAGGAAAGAACUUAAUUAAAGAAGGCAACACAGUCUUAAAGCUAAAAAAUUUAAAAAUAAAAUAAGGU